GUUGAACGCUGGCGGCAUGCCUAACACAUGCAAGUCGAACGGUAACAGUAAGAAGCUUGCUUCUUUGCUGACGAGUGGCGGACGGGUGAGUAAUGUCUGGGAAACUGCCUGAUGGAGGGGGGUAACUACUUGAAACGGUAGCUGAUACCGCAUAACGUCGCAAGACCAAAAACUUUGACCGUCGAGCCUCUUGCCAUCUGAUGUUCGCAGAUGGGAUGGGCUAGUAGGUGGGGGAACGACUCACCUAGGCGACGAUCCUUAGCUGGUCUGAGAGGUUGACUCGCCAGACUGGAAGUGAGACACGGUCCACACUCCGAAGGGAGGCAGCAGUGGGGAAUAUUGCAGAAUGGGGGAGAGGCGGAUGCAGCAAUGUCGGGUGUAGGAAGAAGGACCAAGGGUGGGAAAGCAAUUUCAGCGUGGAGGACGGGAGUAUAGGUAAUAAAGGUGCUCAUUGACGUUACCUGAAGAAGAAGCACCGGCUAACUACGUG
Molecule: ribosomal RNA, 490 nt
Filed under: uncultured bacterium
Lineage: Bacteria
Description: partial 16S ribosomal RNA
Rfam family: Bacterial small subunit ribosomal RNA
Source: RNAcentral